UCAAAUUACCUUCACGACUAAUGAAAACACAUGUGGGUCUCUCAUUUAUGUAGCAACCUUUCAUUUGGCCAAGUGGCUUUGUGGGGCUGAAAUUGAAACUGGGUAUUUUUCGACCUAUUUAACUGAUCCAACCCACCCUUUAUUACCUGGAUCAGUUCUUUUUACCCUAUGCCCAGCUAUUCAAUCGUCUUCUUUCCCAAUUUAGUUCCUAGGUCAGGUAUUCUCAUAUCAACUUCUUCCCCCAAAAGAAAUUUUCAACUAAUUAAUUUUUGUCUUUUCUCUUCGAAUAUUGCGUUUGGUUGUAAAAAGUUGCGCCUUUAUUGUUAAACAAAAAUUUCAAGAUGUCCGAAAAAUCUGUUUUUUAAGUUCGUCGCAUCGGUGUGGUUGUCUUUAACUGCAAAUUAUUUUGUGGCUAAGACUCCUUGAAUGGUGGUCAUAGAUUCUACAAACGCCCUCAUUUUGACAAGGAAGCUUUAUGUGGUUUGUGAGAAUGGUGGGAUGAAGAGAUGUCACCACAUGUGAUUAUGUUAAUCAACAACUUGAAUACUUCACUGAAGCCCGUGGAAGUUGAAAGGAAUUAUCUGAAGAAGAUGGUGGCAACUUGGAAGAGGUUGUUUCUGUUGAAAGACUGAAAAUUGAGAAAAUAAUGUAACAGAUAGAGGGAAUUUAUUCAGCAAACUUAGAGAAUGUGGCUAGGAUGGAGGAUAAACUACAAGUGAUGAAGUGAUAUAACGAUCCGGCCAGCCGUUUUGAGAGGUAGAGCCCUGAUCUCCUAUUAACUACUUUUUCCUUGUCUAUUUCUGCUAUUGUGACUUGCAGAGAGGUUUCAUUCUUAUCUUUGGAAAUGUUUGGGACACUUAGUCCCUAAAUGGUAGCUUAAGCCUUAGGAAUUGGGCUGUAGUCAGAUCUAUGUAAAGAUGGCUUCGAAAUAGAGUUAUGUCGAUUCUCUAGCUCCGUUAGGUGAUAUUAGACUUAGGGGCGUAUCCAGAUUGUAUUUUAGAGGUCCAUAGCUCAUUUAAGCUUGUAAUGGCGAAAGUCAAAUUUUUUUAGAUUUGGAUCGGUAGUGGAAUUUUUUAUAUCGUGAUCGGAUUUUGAUUCCGGAAGUUAGAGUAGGUAUUUAGUGUUAAUUAUGACUUGUGCACAAAAUUUGGGAUUAAUCGGACGUGGCUUGAUAGAUUUCGGCAUCGGUUGUAGAAUUUUCAAGUUUCUAAGUUCUUUAAGUUUGAAUUAGUGGGUGAUUCGUGAUUUUAGAAUUAUUAAAUAAGAUUUGAAGGAUCGACUAAGUUCGUAUGGUAUUUUAGGAUUGAUUGGUAUGUUUGAUUGAGGUCCCAGGGGCCUCGGGUGCAUUUUGGAUGCUCAGCGGAUCAUUUUGGACUUUGGAAAGAUAUAAUAUUUUGUUUAUCUUUAUUGCAGAAGAUUGUUCAUCGCGUUCCCGAAAAGGAGAUUGCUUUCACGAAGGUAUGGCCAGUGGAAGCAUCGCGAAUGCAAGGAAUAGGACGCGUUUGCGUAGAGGAAAAAAUAGAACAGUUGGGACCCCAAAGGUUUGUUCUCGCGUAGAGGAGAAUGCGUUUGCGAAAGGUCUGGCAGGUGAAGCUAC
RNAcentral lists this long non-coding RNA (1597 nucleotides) under Nicotiana benthamiana. RNAcentral describes it as "long non-coding RNA (NBEN_LNC018639)". Lineage: Eukaryota; Viridiplantae; Streptophyta; Magnoliopsida; Solanales; Solanaceae. The record is from RNAcentral.